Molecule: long non-coding RNA, 607 nt
Organism: Ailuropoda melanoleuca (giant panda)
Lineage: Eukaryota; Metazoa; Chordata; Mammalia; Carnivora; Ursidae
Exons: 3
Source: RefSeq, a predicted model, not a curated record
CAUACCUCCUCUUCUGUCGGCUUCCAAGAAAAACAAAGUGUUGGCAGACAGUUCUUCCUCCCCCGUGAUCCCUCUGACCAGCACCCAAGCGAGAUCGAACCCCCGAGAACAAGACCUGGACAGCUUCAUGCACUGUGGUCCUUCCUGUCCCCUCUACAGCGUCCAGCACAUAGUAAGACAAGUGGUCAUUGAAUGAAGGACACAGGCACACCACCAACCCAACCAGAAUGACCACUUCCGGGCAUUUCUUCAGAAACAGGCUUCCUGGUAACCUGGCAGCGUCUCCUCAGCUUGGGACUAGCCUACCCACCUUCUUCUAGUGGCCUGGCUGGUCUGGCCAUCCCUGCUGCUCCGAAGCUGCCAACACCUGCAGGACUUCCGGCUGCUCCGCCAUUGUGCUUUGAACAUGCGUCUUAAUUACAACGAGAAAAAAAGUCACACAGUAGAGAAACCUGGCAGAUGCCACCGUGAUCAAGUGAUCAAAGCGAACACCACCAGUCACGGAUCAAAUGGACACCGUGUGCCUCCCGAUAUGAUGCCCUGAGAAGGAGACACAUGCCCUCGGUGGGGUUUCUGCCAAGCAUGCAGAGCCUGGACCCGGUCACAG